GGUUGCGAUCAUACCAGCACUAAUGCACCGGAUCCCAUCAGAACUCCUCAGUUAAGCGUGCUUGGGCGAGAGUAGUACUAGGAUGGGUGACCCCCUGGGAAGUCCUCGUGUUGCAACCC
Molecule: ribosomal RNA, 119 nt
Filed under: Helianthus annuus (common sunflower)
Lineage: Eukaryota; Viridiplantae; Streptophyta; Magnoliopsida; Asterales; Asteraceae
Source: RNAcentral